GGUUAGUCGGUGGCAGAUGGCGGGGUAGUGCGAGUGGGGCGAGGGUGUGUCGGAGUUACUGGGCGGAAAGCGCGCGCGGGCGGCAGACCAAGUCGGGCGUGAAAGCCCCUGGCUUAACCUGGGAACUGCGUCUGGGACCGGUUUGCUAGAUAUCGGGAGAGGAGAGUGGAAUUCCCAGUGUAGAGGUGAAAUUCGUAGAUAUUGGGAAGAACACCGGUGGCGAAGGCGGCUCUCUGGACCGAGACUGACGCUGAGGCGCGAAAGCGUGGGGAGCAAACAGGAUUAGAUACCCUUGUAGUC
This 300-nucleotide ribosomal RNA is filed under the name uncultured Bacillus sp. Its description in RNAcentral is "bacterial SSU rRNA". The stretch from base 52 to 300 matches the Rfam family "Bacterial small subunit ribosomal RNA", at positions 547 to 795 of the family's 1533-position model. Lineage: Bacteria; Bacillati; Bacillota; Bacilli; Caryophanales; Bacillaceae. The record is from RNAcentral.